Molecule: transfer RNA, 67 nt
Filed under: Nuttallina californica
Lineage: Eukaryota; Metazoa; Mollusca; Polyplacophora; Chitonida; Tonicellidae
Description: tRNA-Asp
Source: RNAcentral
AAGAAAUUAGUUAAUUUUAAAUAACAUGAGCUUGUCAAGCUUAAAUAACUCUUUAGAGUAUUUCUUU